UACUGUUCGUCAAAGUUGCAAGAUUAAGCAAAAGUGUGUAAUCUCGUCCGUGCAUAAAUUAUCAAAACCAAUGGGUAUUUAUAACUGGUUUGUUCGUUUUCGGAAAAUAAGGAUGUUAUGAAAUUGUUAUCAUUGUCACGUGACUUGGAUGCACUUUGAUAAUAAAUAUAUUUUUAGCGCAAGUAAAUAGGUUAUAUCACACAAAGUUUAAACUGAAAUACAGUUGUUAUACAUAGUUUCGUUGUCUGAUACAGACAAAAAGUGCUAACAUUCGUUAAAGAAAAGGAAAAAUAAAAAUAACAGGGAGAAUGAAGAUAUACUGUUUGAGAUGUAGAAUCAAGACAGAGACUUUGUAUGAACAUCUUGUCAAAAUGGCGAACGGUAGAACAAGUGUUCGAGGGAUAUGUGCACAUUGUGGUACACAGAAGCAUCAGAUUGUUGGCUAGCCAUUUCCGGUCUGCCAAGGAAACAUUUAUUAUUAUUUUUAUAAAAUGAACGAACCAUUUUAUCAACUUAUAAUAUUUUUAUUGUUCAACAAAUUCGCCGAGAAGAUGCAUCACGUGAUUAGCUUACAAACAAAUCAAAUAUUAUUUCACUAAUGAAAAUGUUCAGUAAUUCUGGUCAUAAGGAGAUCAAUGCAAAACUUGUGUUCAAUAUUGUUUAAAUUUAUACAUGUCAAUUAUUAAUUUACAUUAACUCUUGCAGAAAAUCUGAAUAAAACUACAGUAUCAUCGUA
Molecule: long non-coding RNA, 736 nt
Organism: Ruditapes philippinarum (Manila clam)
Lineage: Eukaryota; Metazoa; Mollusca; Bivalvia; Venerida; Veneridae
Exons: 2
Source: RefSeq, a predicted model, not a curated record